CCUACGGGAGGCAGCAGUGAGGAAUAUUGGUCAAUGGGCGGAAGCCUGAACCAGCCAAGUCGCGUGAGGGAAUAAGGCCCUACGGGUCGUAAACCUCUUUUGCCGGGGAGCAAGGGCGGGGACGUGUCCCGUCCCGGAGAGUACCCGGAGAAAAAGCAUCGGCUAACUCCGUGCCAGCAGCCGCGGUAAUACGGAGGAUGCGAUCGUUAUCCGGAUUUAUUGGGUUUAAAGGGUGCGUAGGCGGGCGUUUAAGUCAGCGGUAAAAAUUCGGGGCUCAACCCCGUCCGGCCGUUGAAACUGGGGGCCUUGAGUGGGCGAGAAGAAGGCGGAAUGCGUGGUGUAGCGGUGAAAUGCAUAGAUAUCACGCAGAACCCCGAUUGCGAAGGCAGCCUUCCGGCGCCCUACUGACGCUGAGGCACGAAAGUGCGGGGAUCGAACAGGAUUAGAUACCCGAGUAGUC
This 460-nucleotide ribosomal RNA is filed under the name uncultured bacterium. RNAcentral describes it as "partial 16S ribosomal RNA". It matches the Rfam family "Bacterial small subunit ribosomal RNA", at positions 338 to 795 of the family's 1533-position model. The record is from RNAcentral.